This 429-nucleotide ribosomal RNA is filed under the name uncultured bacterium. RNAcentral's name for it is "bacterial SSU rRNA". It matches the Rfam family "Bacterial small subunit ribosomal RNA", at positions 355 to 775 of the family's 1533-position model. The record is from RNAcentral.
UGGGGAAUAUUGGGCAGUGGGCGAAAGCCUGACCCAGCGACGCCGCGUGGGUGAUGAAGGCCUUCGGGUUGUAUAACCCUUUCGUGCGGAAAGAAUAGUCCUGUAGCGAUUAACUAUUGGUUUUGACGGUACCGCAGGAAGAAGCACCGGCUUAUUCCGUUCCAGCUGCUGCGGUUCUACGGGGGGUGCUAGCGUUGUUUGGAAUUAUUGGGCGUAAAGGGCGCGUAGGUGGUUGUGAUAGUCAGAUGUGAAAUCCUUCGGCACAACCGAAGAACGGCAACUGAAACUGCAUAGCGCGAGUACAGGAGAGGGAAACGGAAUUCGCGGUGUAGAGGUGAAAUGCGUAGAUAUCGGGAGGAACACCAGUGGCGAAGGCGGUUUCCUGGCCUGAUACUGACGCUGAGGCGCGAAAGCGUGGGGAGCAAACAG